GGAAGUUGGAACCGUACCUACAGCCACAGCCUUCUCUACCGCCAGCUAAAUUAGACUUCUCUGGUUCUAACACAUUCGAUAACUAGAACCCAAAUCAUUGUUUCGUCUAUCUUUAGUUCUGUAGCUAAAUUUUCAUUGUUUUGUAUCUCUGAUUCUCCAAAGCUAUCUUUACCCAGAUUUUUGCCGCAACAGAAUCACCCUCUUCUUCUCGAUAGACCGAAUUAAUCACUAACCUUUGGUACUUCGAGAAUGUGUCCAAUUCUUAAGAGAGGGUUACGUUCUGUCUGCUUCUUCAAUGCUCGAGGAAAAUGUAAAGACAAUUUCGAUGGGCAGGUUUCAUUUUCAAACUUAUUGUUACUAUUAACCUAUAUCUUCUGUUGCAAAUUAGAUGGUAAGAAUCUAUGUUUCUCAGGAAAGUGAACUGGACUAGCCAAUACUUAAGAGUUGGGACGUGCCUUGGCAAUGGCAAACUGCUUCAUUAACCUCACUCGCAUGUGGAUUAAGUUUUUUUUUUCUUCUGUAAUUUAUUAUGGAAUUACAAGUUUAAUGGCUAAUGUGCGUGUCUUUUUAUUGGGUUACAUGUAUUUUUCCCGAAUUGCCGUAAUCUUCGAGGAAAUUUUGAAACACUGGAUUGUCUUAAUGUUUUUCUUUUGUUUUGGUUUUGGAAGGAAGUUAACGUUUUUGCCAGGCAGUUUUGUUUUGACAGGAUUAGCAGAGACAGCAGCUUUACCAAUCCUAGGAAUUAGAAUUGAAGAAUUGAGUUUAGACGAGAAGGCAGAGUUGCUGUUAUUGGACCAGAGCAUUACCACUGCAGUUGUACUUGGAGUUAUUUAUAGUAUCACAAACACCUUUCAACCGUUUCCUGAAGAUAUGUUUCGCUAUGAUUUGAGGGAACCUUUCAAUCUACAGAAGGGGUGGCUUUUAUGGGCAGUGAUUGGUCUUUUGGGUGCUCUAUAAGCUAUCGCAUUGACAGGAGUUGCCAUGUUGACAAUGGUGAGACUCCACAAAGGGAGGUUGGGAACUGUUCCCUAACUUAAAUUAUUUUCUUCUGUUCUUACACGGUACAAAGAUGGUAAUUUGUUCGAUUAUUCAAAAACCAUAUGGCAAACUUUUAAUCGCAGUGAUAAGCUGCAACGUCUCCAUCACUAUACCACAACUAAAUGAACUUAUAAUAUAUUGCUGUACACAGGCUAUACCACAAUAUUAAUAAAUUGAUGCCACCCAACUUGUAAAAUGGACUUAAAUGAAUUGUGUAUUUUUUUGGGGAAAACAGAAAUGACUAAUUUUACCUAUCCUUUUCUUGAAUAAAAAUAACGAGCUGAUAUUCUGUUUGGCAUAUACUUUUUUUUUUAACACUGUUUAGCAUAUACUUAUGAAUAUUUUAAGUGCUAUUUGUUUUCUACUACCAUAUAAUCCUUAUCAUGCGUGUAACAUGGUUGCAGACUGAUGCUCUUGUUCGGCUUCUUCCAUUAAUUGGAUCUUCAAGUGUCAGGUAUUCAAAGAAGGGGUUUUCUAGUUUUGUCCAUAUUACAUGCUGAAGUAGCUAUGCUUUCCAAUGGGGAAUACUCUUGUCAAUUAGAGAUUGAACAAAUGAACUAACGAUAUGGAGUGGUAUUGUGGCACUGCUUUCUUGGUGGGCAUCACUGUUGUCCUUGAUCCAAUUCUGGAGGAGACAGUUUUUCGAGGAUGCCUACACCCAUUUCUGUCCUAAUUAGUGCCGCUGUAUUUGCAAUAGGACAUCUAACUCCUGGGGGGUUUCCCCAGCUGUUUGUGUUAGGGAUUAUUCUGGGAUUUUCUUAUGCUCAAACUCGCAAUCUUCUAACCCCAAUUACAAUUCAUGCUUUCUGGAACUCUGGAGUGAUUCUAAUUCUCACCUUCCUUCAGCUCCAAGGAUAUGAUAUCAAGGAAUUAUUGCAGGCAACCUGACAAUGACACAGUUCCUUUACCCAUCAAUAGGGGGACCUUGUGCAAUGAGUGCUUAUUUCUGGCAUAUAUACCAUAUAUUACCUUGCUCAAGUGGUUUAGAAAAAGAGAAUAGGUGCAGGAGGAUAAAUAUGUAAAGUUGAUUAGUCAGUCUUAGACGUAUGAUUAGGAGAACAAAAGUUUUUUGGCAAGGUUUUGUUACUCAACUUUUGUGCCUUGAAAAAGCUUCAUUCUGUUAUCCAAUUCGUGCUCUUCUCAACAUGUCAAAGAAGUCACAGUUCAUAUAAUGGCCAGUGUCCUCUUAUAAAAGCUACAUAAUGUUGUGCCAAGAGUCUCAAGGGGAAGAUUGCAUAGCCAGGAUUUAUUGCAUGGAUAGGGAUUAUUGUUCUGCAAUGAACUCUUGCCUCUCUAGGCACCUUGUUUUAGUAUUCAACCUGAUGAGUGAGCUUAUUUAGAAGGCUAUAUGUUCAUUUUGGGGACAGGGUUUAAUGCGGAGAUUGGUGAUACAAAUGAAUAGUUUAUGGUAUUUGGAUAAUUUAUUAACGAGAAUAAUGGAGUUCAUUUCCGAUUGAUUGAGAGAUUACUGUUUCCCACUGAUUAAAGGAGCAUUUUGUAUUUAGUUGGAGUACGUGUGGAUUUUCAUUUAAUUAUUUGCAUCUGUAAUUUAUGUGUAUUAGAAAUUUCUGCUAAUUGUAUCUAUAAUUUAUAUGCUUAAGAAAACAAUGGUAUAUUAAUUCGGUAUUAUAGUGAAAUUAAUGAUUU
This 2685-nucleotide unclassified non-coding RNA is filed under the name Hevea brasiliensis (rubber tree). Lineage: Eukaryota; Viridiplantae; Streptophyta; Magnoliopsida; Malpighiales; Euphorbiaceae. The record is from RNAcentral.